UUUUAUUGUAACUUUCGUGAGACAUACUAAAUUAAUUAUUAUGUUAUCGGCUUACUCACGUACUGUUUUGACGAGGAACUCGACUAUCGUCAUCCCAACUUCAACAGAGACGGUGGCUGGGCAUUACCACCUGCCUGGAAGCCGAGUCUACAAUCUGCGUCAACCUACAAUGUUGCGGGUCUGGAGUGUGACACAGUGAGCGCGGUAUGUAGCACCGUUUUUGCGCCGACCCGAGAAUCGAAUCUAACACCUGCGCAGCCGCCGGCGAACGAGUCUAACGAGCCAACAUCGUCGCGCGCGCCAGAUAGUGCGCGCGA
Long non-coding RNA from Spodoptera frugiperda (fall armyworm), 317 nucleotides. RefSeq lists it as uncharacterized. Lineage: Eukaryota; Metazoa; Arthropoda; Insecta; Lepidoptera; Noctuidae. The record is from RefSeq and is a predicted model, not a curated record. The transcript is spliced from 2 exons.